RNAcentral lists this long non-coding RNA (234 nucleotides) under Hordeum vulgare. Its description in RNAcentral is "long non-coding RNA (HVUL_LNC006600)". The record is from RNAcentral. Lineage: Eukaryota; Viridiplantae; Streptophyta; Magnoliopsida; Poales; Poaceae.
UCUAGCGAUCCCGCUCCUGCUAACCCUUCUCGUUUCCUCGGUUGGAUACUAGAAAAAAACGAAAGAGCCGCAUCCACAGACCAUGACCCCGUUUUCUCCCAACCUCCUCGAUCCCGAUCCCCUCCAUCUCGUGAUGCCCACGAUCUCCCCUCUCUUCUUCCCACCCGGCCAGGCAGGGAAGCCGUUUCAUGAUCCGCCGCCAGCCGUGCUCGCGCGGGGGGAGGGAGGCCGCCG